Molecule: ribosomal RNA, 497 nt
Filed under: uncultured bacterium
Lineage: Bacteria
Description: partial 16S ribosomal RNA
Rfam family: Bacterial small subunit ribosomal RNA
Source: RNAcentral
GAUGAACGCUGGCGGCGUGCCUAAUACAUGCAAGUCGAGCGAACGGACGAUAAUCUUUCUUCUCUGAUUUUAUCGGCUGACGUGUGUGUAACACGUGUAUAACCUACCUAUAAUACUUGUAUAACUUCGUGAAACCUUAUCUAAUACCGUAUGAUAUUUUUAACCUCAUGUUUCUAAUGUGCUAUACGUUCUUUCUGUCUCUUAUAGAUGUAUCCUCGCUGCAUUAGCUAGUUGGUAAGGUAACGGCUUACCAAGGCAACGAUGCAUAGCCGACCUGAGAGGGUGAACGGAAAAACUGGAAGAGAGACACGGAAAAGAGAACUAAGGGAGGCAGCAGUAGGGAAUAGGACGAAAUGGGCGAAAGAAUGACGGAGAAAAGCCGAGUGAGUGAUGAAGGACUAAGGAUAGUAAAACACUGUUAUGAGGGAAGAAAAAAAGUGUAAGAAAAAGAGAAGAGAGUGACGGUAACAAAAAAGAAAGCAACGGCGAACUACGGG